RNAcentral lists this long non-coding RNA (327 nucleotides) under Elaeis guineensis (African oil palm). RNAcentral's name for it is "long non-coding RNA (EGUI_LNC081192)". Lineage: Eukaryota; Viridiplantae; Streptophyta; Magnoliopsida; Arecales; Arecaceae. The record is from RNAcentral.
UCGACCAUGCCAGUAUCCGAUCGACUUCACCCGACACUAUUUAUGAGGAAACUUGACAUUCAAUACCUGACCGACUACUUCCUCGAUAUCCUACCGACUACGAUGAUCAAGUCGUGCCACCCUCCAGGUUCAAUCAAUCAACCUUCUGACAAAGACGUCGGUCGAAUAUUCCGAUAUUAGGUGUAGCCGCCAUGCCACCCCAUUAGACCACAUUAGGUCACAUCACCCAAAAGCCAUACCCAGGAUGGCUGGCAGUGCGCCAUGAUGGGGGGCCGCGACUUCAUUAAUUACUCUACACGCACGGCAGGAACCACCGCCACGGCCACC